UGACAGGUCUACCUAACUAUCAGCUUCCACUGUUGUAGGCCGGAACACCUUUCCCACAGACGCCUUGCUGGGGGUGUGGUCCUGCUAGGCUCCAAGGGAGGGGUGGAUUGGAAGACAGCUGGCAUCCUAUAGGAAAACCACCACUGAAAGUGCUGAUUAAUUGCCUAGACGAACGGUGAUAAACUACCCAAAAACAGCACAGAAAAAGAAAUAUAUCCUUCCAGACAGGGUGGAUAAGGAGCCCUAAGAAAAAUUUAGGACAAAGACACACAGAAGAAGACCAUGUGAAGAUACAGGGAAAAGAUGGCCAUCUUCAAAUUGAGGACAGGGACAGAGACCUGACAAGAAAUCAACCCUGCCAAGUCUGAGACUUCCAACCACCAGAAAUGCAAGAAAAUAAAUUUCCAUCUAAGCCACCCAGUCUGUUCAUAGCAACUAAUAUAGUAACUGAAAGAUUGUUUUGGUCUCAUGGUUCUUUUUUAUAAAAUGUAAUUCCUCAGCUCUUGGGUAGAAUCACAGUAGAAGUGACAGUUUAUUCCCUCAUCACAUCCUAUACUUUCGAAAGCAUCUUCUAACGUAAGUGUGAAUAUCAAAUAGAUACCAUAUUUAUCAUAUCACACACAUCACUAAAUGAACUAGAUAAAACUAUCAUCUGUUUCUCUUAUGUUACAAACUUACUAGCAUAAUAUAUGAGCCAGGAGCUGUAUCUUAGAAAGUUAUGAAUGAUAAAUAGCAUUGGUAAAUAUACAAAGAGAAGAAUUAUUCUCUUAUGAAAUCUUAUUCUUCAUGUUUAAUUUUGGAAUCGGAAUUGACUUAAUUUUAUCACA
This is a long non-coding RNA of Lontra canadensis (Northern American river otter), 827 nucleotides long. RefSeq lists it as uncharacterized. Lineage: Eukaryota; Metazoa; Chordata; Mammalia; Carnivora; Mustelidae. The record is from RefSeq and is a predicted model, not a curated record. The transcript has 4 exons.